CUGUUCACUUGCUGCAGAGAAGCGGUGCUGACAGGUUACUGUAGAGAGCAGAGAGCUGUUGGUCACAUUGAGACAACAAGGGAAAGCACUUGGAAUAUAAACAGUGAGAUCUAGUCUAAAAAUGAAGUGUUGGAGAUGGAUUUGAAUUUGAACUGUUUGCUCUGUUUCUUCUGUGUGCAUCCCCUGUGUGCAUCUGACUCAAGUCCCUUUGGCACAGGAACAGGGUGGCAGGAACUGACCCCUGGCUGCUGAACGUACAGAGGGGAGAGUUGAGGACAUUUAAACCCCAAAACUGCACCUGGUUGUUGACCUCCAAACUGACCAUUCCUUUUCUGCUGCAUAUGUCUUUCAGUGGCUGUUGGGUAGCCUGAUUCUUAUUUUGCAAAUGGAGGAUAUCUGUAGCCUAAGAGCUACAAGAAGGCUGCAUUCUCUGAAGACCAGAGAAGUUAACUCCCCUAAAGAAAAGAAAAAACAACGCUGUUUCAUGAAUCAUGAGUCUAAUGAGCCCAGGACACCUCCAGCAUGUCAUCCAGCCAGAGGUACAGACCUCUGGGUCCUGCAGGGAUUGUUACCAUUAACCGCUGAGCAGUGGUACCAUGAUGAGCCUGGCAUUACCUGCAGGUAGAGAUGACAAGAAGGGGAAAUUUUCUGGCAGAAUGAGUCUAGGUUUGUGCUUCAAGGGGUGAAGGCUGUAGACUGCACAUCGGAGGAUGAUUCUUUCAAGGAAAGUGUUGGCAACUGCACAGAAAAGGAAAUGUUCUUACACAAAAAUUUUCAACCUUUUCCUUUCAUUCAUUGUGUAAACUUUACCUCCAACACUCAGCUUACACCUCUUAUCAUGCUGGACCACAGCUAAGGGAGAAGGUGAUAGCUGAAAAUCAAAUCAGAUAAAGAAAGAAGCAAUUGCUUGGGUCAAAGAAUCAGAGCUUCUGAUUCUGUGCCUGCUGCCUUGGCUGAGCAUCUUUUUUCUCUGUUCAUUGUUCAGCUGGGAAUCUUAUUAAUCUCACACAGUUUCUUUAAGUACACAUAAUGGCAAUGGCAAAAAAUUUGUUUUGGAUUUUUGCAAAGAGCUGUGUUUGAGGUUACUGUUGAUAACUGCUCAGAUAUCUGGUGCUUAACAUAUUAUAGUAUGAUGGUGAGUACAUCCUUAAAGUCCACAAUUAGUCCAAAUUAAUUGCUAGUCUUUGGCUUUAAUAUCUCAAUAAUUACAGUCCUUUCUGGGUGUUAAUAAAUAGAUAAGCUGUAAACAU
Molecule: long non-coding RNA, 1250 nt
Organism: Corvus hawaiiensis (hawaiian crow)
Lineage: Eukaryota; Metazoa; Chordata; Aves; Passeriformes; Corvidae
Exons: 7
Source: RefSeq, a predicted model, not a curated record